RNAcentral lists this ribosomal RNA (408 nucleotides) under bacterium enrichment culture clone ALO1_GLFRUDD03HJXZH. RNAcentral's name for it is "bacterial SSU rRNA". It matches the Rfam family "Bacterial small subunit ribosomal RNA", at positions 9 to 416 of the family's 1533-position model. The record is from RNAcentral.
GAGUUUGAUCCUGGCUCAGAUUGAACGCUGGCGGCAUGCCUUACACAUGCAAGUCGAACGGCAGCACGGGAGCUUGCUCCUGGUGGGCGAGUGGCGAACGGGUGAGUAAUGCAUCGGAACGUAUCCUGGAGUGGGGGAUAACGUAGCGAAAGUUACGCUAAUACCGCAUAUUCUGUGAGCAGGAAAGCGGGGGACCUUCGGGCCUCGCGCUCUUGGAGCGGCCGAUGUCGGAUUAGCUAGUUGUGAGGUAAAGGCUCACCAAGGCGACGAUCCGUAGCAGGUCUGAGAGGAUGAUCUGCCACACUGGAACUGAGACACGGUCCAGACUCCUACGGGAGGCAGCAGUGGGGAAUUUUGGACAAUGGGGGCAACCCUGAUCCAGCCGAUGCCGCGUGAGUGAAGAAGGCC